This is a long non-coding RNA of Glycine soja, 512 nucleotides long. RefSeq lists it as uncharacterized. The transcript has 3 exons. The record is from RefSeq and is a predicted model, not a curated record. NCBI's taxonomy places the organism in Eukaryota, Viridiplantae, Streptophyta, Magnoliopsida, Fabales, Fabaceae.
CCAAAAAUAAAGAAUUUAAAAUUCCACGCUGAACUCACUCUCACCGUCUCGCAACUUCAUGCUUAGAACCCUAGCAACACUGUGACCCACUCUACUCUCGUGUGAUGGUUCAGAGUGUGUUUUCACACUCUCAUGCAGCGGUUCACGCUCUCACUCUCUCUCACGGUGGUUCACACUCGCAUUGUGGUUCAGAGUGUGUUCUCAUUCUCUCUCACACGAUGGUUCACGCUCUCACUCUCACGGAGGUGCUCUAUCAAGGUCGAGUUUACUUCUCACUUUAGUCGAAAGAAGGACUCUUUUGUAUCUAGCAGUGUCUCGAGCCUACCCAAAGGUUAAUAGGUAGUAUUAACUUCAAUGGAGCCAUCCAAAGGAAACAUCAAAGGGAGAAGAAAGGUGACAGAAAAAAAAAAAAUAGGAAACAAGAAGUUAUCUUAGAUGGAACUUGGACAUGAAACGCGUGUUGGUUGAAGUACUAAGAGAUCAAAGAAAUCUGGGCAAUAAGAGCGGCAAAA